Camelus dromedarius (Arabian camel) is the source of this 915-nucleotide long non-coding RNA. RefSeq lists it as uncharacterized. NCBI's taxonomy places the organism in Eukaryota, Metazoa, Chordata, Mammalia, Artiodactyla, Camelidae. The record is from RefSeq and is a predicted model, not a curated record. The transcript is spliced from 2 exons.
UGAUUAGUUGUUUGUCUGUCCGACUUCCCCUUUGUUACAAGUCUCUGUGGGGAUGAUCUGGCUUUGUCAUCCCUGUGUCCCCGGAGCACCUCCUGUACCUGUUCAGCUCCCAUGAGCACCUGGUGGGACUGUCAGAAGCAGCAGAGACACCAAAUUCCUGAGCAAAGUUAGCUAAGCUGAGAGAGAGAGGCCACGUAAGAGGAAGGAGGAGGAAACUCACCAUCUGAGGCAGAGGACGACUCAUCCUCGUCAUCAUCCUCCCACCGGGACUGAAAGUCUCCAGGACGAAGCAGCACUCUGUCUGACUUUGAAGUGGGCAGGACAGACAUGGACUGGGAGAGUGGCGUUUUCUGCAGGUUGGACUUGGAAAACAAGGUCUUGAUCUUUGACUUCUUCUUCUUGUCUUUGGAAGGAGACUCGUCAUCACUGUCCGCCGCGGGUGCCACGCUGGGGACGAUGGCUGAUGCGGUAUCUGAUGCGCUGUCCUUGUUCUUCGCCUUGAUUUUGUCCUUCAGUUUCCCAAACGGAUUCCGAGACUUGUCUUUCACGGAGAGGUCAAACAUGCUAGCGGUCAUGUUGUUUCUCAUAAACUGGAUGUCAACCUCAAUUUCUCCUCGCUCUUUAUCCUUCUUUCCUGGUUUGGAUUUCAAGGUAUACCACCUACAAGGAGAAAGGCUGAGAGGUCACCUUUGAACUGAAGGGCUGCCACAAUGUUCACAGCCACCCCUCUCCCCCAUACAGACGCAGCCCAGCCUCUCUUCUUUGGUGGGGAGGACAGAACUUACAGCUUUACUUCUGAGAAGACACCCCCUGGGCAAAGAUGGGAUCUGACCCUCUACUUAGUGUGUAGUCACCUAAAAUCUUGAUUCAAUAAAGAGGUAUUUCUAAGAACAAAAUAAACAUUCCAUCAGAUCA